GGUUAAUCAUUAUGCAUAAUAUAUAAACAAUAGGUAAAUAUUUUCAUUUUUUCAUUUUUUUCUACUGUUGCGGUUCUAUGUCAAAUUUUUUGUGCUGUAUAACAUACUUUCUCUUGUCUCGUUAGGAAAUUUCGGUCAAUUAAUAAUGAUCGGUCAUUGGUCAAUUUUUCCCACCAAUAGAAAAUUUAAUUUCUUUGAAAAUCUAAUGAAAAUUAUAGAUCAUUACAGAUAUAGUUUCAGAGAUAAAAUUAUUAUUUAUUGUAUUUAUUUUAAUGAUUUCUUUUUUAUUACAAAACUAAACACAAAAAUAUAUACACGUAGUAUUUUUAUUUCAAUUAUAAACGAAGGUUAAUGUUCAAUCGAAAAAACUAUUAACUGAUAGGUCAAGGAAGAUGGAAAGUUAACGUUCAUAAAAUAUAUAUGUUUGUCUUUAUCUAUCACAUUCGUUAGUUCCUUUUGGUUCCUUUUAUUACUAGAAGUCAGCUGCGGGUAGGAGUACAUGGUAGUCUGAAGUAAGAAGUCGUUGCACCUCUAGCAUAGGAUCUGACGAUAUUUAAUAGGAUAUUAUUUGAAAUAUAUAUAUUAUAUCAUUAAUCGAAGUGUAUUAUAUAUACAUAUGCAUAGUGAAUGAUACAUUAAUGGUUAUACUGUAAAAUUUGAAAAAAAAAAAAAAAAAAAAAA
Molecule: long non-coding RNA, 681 nt
Organism: Polistes canadensis
Lineage: Eukaryota; Metazoa; Arthropoda; Insecta; Hymenoptera; Vespidae
Exons: 2
Source: RefSeq, a predicted model, not a curated record